Molecule: ribosomal RNA, 540 nt
Filed under: Wiebesia flava
Lineage: Eukaryota; Metazoa; Arthropoda; Insecta; Hymenoptera; Agaonidae
Description: eukaryotic LSU rRNA
Rfam family: Eukaryotic large subunit ribosomal RNA
Source: RNAcentral
ACGGACCAAGGAGUCUAACAUGUGCGCGAGUCAUUGGGUGUUGUGUAAAAAGCCAAUUAGCGGAAACCUAAAGGCGCAAUGAAAGNGAAGAUUGACCCCAGCGUCGAUCGAGGGAGGAUGGCUCGGGCUCGCCCGGGCCCGCACUCCCGGGGCGUCUCACGGUCGCUACGACCAGAGGCGCACCCAGAGCGUACACGUUGGGACCCGAAAGAUGGUGAACUAUGCCUGGUCAGGACGAAGUCAGGGGAAACCCUGAUGGAGGUCCGUAGCGAUUCUGACGUGCAAAUCGAUCGUCGGAACUGGGUAUAGGGGCGAAAGACUAAUCGAACCAUCUAGUAGCUGGUUCCCUCCGAAGUUUCCCUCAGGAUACCUGGCACUCGCUCGAACGCAAACGAGUCUCAUCUGGUAAAGCGAAUGAUUAGAGGCCUUGGGGCCGAAACGACCUCAACCUAUUCUCAAACUUUAAAUGGGUGAGAUCUCUGGCUUGCUUGAACGUUGAAGCCACGAGACGAUGGAUCAGACUGCCAAGUGGGCCAAUUU